RNAcentral lists this transfer RNA (62 nucleotides) under Hydrometra greeni. Its description in RNAcentral is "tRNA-Cys". The record is from RNAcentral. RNAcentral also lists the same sequence under 1 other name. Lineage: Eukaryota; Metazoa; Arthropoda; Insecta; Hemiptera; Hydrometridae.
GGUUUUAUAUUCAAUUAUGAUUUUAGAAUGCAAUUCUAAAGGUGAAUAUUAUUCUAAAACUU